This 497-nucleotide ribosomal RNA is filed under the name uncultured bacterium. RNAcentral's name for it is "partial 16S ribosomal RNA". It matches the Rfam family "Bacterial small subunit ribosomal RNA", at positions 28 to 507 of the family's 1533-position model. The record is from RNAcentral.
GAUGAACGCUGGCGGCGUGCCUAAUACAUGCGAGUCGAGCGAACGGACGAGAAGCUUGCUUCUCUGAUGUUAGCGGCGGACGGGUGAGUAACACGUGGAUACCCUACCUAUAAGACUGGGAUAACUUCGGGAAACCGGCGCUAAUACCGGAUGAUAUUUUGAACCGCAUGGUUCAAAAGUGAAAGACGGUCUUUCUGUCACUUAUAGAUGGAUCCGCGCUUCAUUAGCUAGUUGGUAAGGUAACGGGUUAUCAAGGCAACGCUGCAUAGCCGACCUGAGAGGGUGAUCGGCCACACUGGAAGUGAGACACGGUCCAGGCUCCUACGGGAGGCAGCAGUAGGCAACCUUACGCAAUGGGCGAAAGCAUUACGGAGCAAGGCGGCGUGAGUGAUGAAGGUCUCCGGAUCGUAAAACUCGGUUAUUAGGGAAGAACAUAUGUGUAAGUAACUGUGCACAGCGUGACGGUACCUAAUCAGAAAGCAACGGCUAACUACGUG